Long non-coding RNA from Papaver somniferum (opium poppy), 797 nucleotides. RefSeq lists it as uncharacterized. Lineage: Eukaryota; Viridiplantae; Streptophyta; Magnoliopsida; Ranunculales; Papaveraceae. The transcript has 3 exons. The record is from RefSeq and is a predicted model, not a curated record.
GGAAGUCAGACUAGUAGUACCAGAAACAGAUGACCCGUCACUACUAGUAAUGACAUUUCGGGCAUGGUUUCUAGGUACAGUUUCGUGCACCAUACUCAUUUUUCUAAAUACAUUCUUCACUUUUCGUACUCAACCAUUAACACUAUCGGCGAUCUUGAUGCAAAUUAUGGUUUUGCCCAUUGGUAAAUUCAUGGCAUCGAUACUUCCAAAAGGGGAUAUAAGAAUUAUGGGUACAAGUUUUAGUUUAAAUCCAAGGCCUUUUAAUAUGAAAGAACAUGUUAUCAUCACAAUCUUUGUAAACUGUGGUGUUGCUAGUGGUGGUGGUGAUGCUUAUUCUAUUGGUGCUAUUACUGUCAUGAUAGCUUAUUACAAGCAAAGCUUGAACUUUCUUUGUGCUCUUCUAAUUGUCUUGACUACUUAGAUAUUGGGGUAUGGAUGGGCAGGGAUGUUGAAGAGGUAUUUGGUUGUUCCGGAUGAAAUGUGGUGGCCGUCAAACCUUGCUCAGGUUUCUUUGUUCAGAUGUCUGGAUCAAAGGACGAGACGAGGGGAAUAAUCAAGCAGAGAAUCCGUUGGUGUCCCUUUCGAGAAGAAAAGAGGGCCCACAUUUGAAGGCAAUGUAAGAGGUAGGUGUUGCUGAAGGACAGUUGUGUUGAUGUAAAAUCAAACCCCAAUUUAAUUAAUUCUUGAGCAAUCAAUUCCUAACAAUGACGGGGAGCACUCGUAUGUUACUCUCUUCGUCCCACUAUUAAGUGCCCUAGUUCAAGUUUGUACAAUUUUUAAGACAAUUAAGGAGAAAA